RNAcentral lists this ribosomal RNA (778 nucleotides) under uncultured Neocallimastigales. RNAcentral's name for it is "partial large subunit ribosomal RNA". It matches the Rfam family "Eukaryotic large subunit ribosomal RNA", at positions 23 to 647 of the family's 3401-position model. The record is from RNAcentral. Lineage: Eukaryota; Fungi; Neocallimastigomycota; Neocallimastigomycetes; Neocallimastigales.
AGAGAGAGACAUGCGCGCAUAUCAAUAAGCGGAGGAAAAGAAACUAACAAGGAUUCCCCUAGUAACGGCGAGUGAAGCGGGAAGAGCUCAAAUUUGAAAUCUUAAAGGGUUUCCCUUUACGAAUUGUAGUUUAAAGAAGUGUUUUUCUGUUGAGGUUUUGGUAAAAGUUCUUUGGAAUAGGACAUCAUAGAGGGUGAGAAUCCCGUAUUUGACCUUUACUUUCAACUUUGUGAUACACUUUCAAAGAGUCGGAUUGUUUGGGAAUGCAGUCCAAAAUGGGUGGUAAAUUUCAUCUAAAGCUAAAUAUUGGCGAGAGACCGAUAGGCGAACAAGUACCGUGAGGGAAAGAUGAAAAGAACUUUGAAAAGAGAGUUAAACAGUACGUGUAAAUUGUCAAAAGGGAAGCGUUUAACACCAGUGUUGUUUUUCUGAAAAUCAAUUAAAGAACUGUUUAUGCUAAGCUUGUUUAGACUUUAUCAGCUAUCUGUUUAGUUUUGAGCUUUUCUUUAAUGCACUUUUCAGUUAACAAGUCAACAUCAAUUUCUUUUGCUGUAAAAAAGCUUGAGGAAGGUGGCUUAAGAUUCGUCUUAAGUGUUUAUAGCCUCUUGCCUAUGCAGUCGGAGAGAUUGAGGUCUGCAGCGUAGAUCCUUCGGGGCUAAAUGCAUUUGUGCUAAGUCAUAGCAUUUUAUAGACAACUUGUUGACUAUGAUUUGUCUUGUAGCUUACUCGCUUAUGUUAUUUUACCUACGCUUAGGAUGUUGACGCAUGAGAUAUACGC